Molecule: transfer RNA, 77 nt
Filed under: Nonlabens agnitus
Lineage: Bacteria; Pseudomonadati; Bacteroidota; Flavobacteriia; Flavobacteriales; Flavobacteriaceae
Also listed under: 1 other name
Description: tRNA-His
Rfam family: tRNA
About the family: Transfer RNA (tRNA) molecules are approximately 80 nucleotides in length. Their secondary structure includes four short double-helical elements and three loops (D, anti-codon, and T loops).
Source: RNAcentral
GUGGUUGUAGCUCAGUUGGUUAGAGCGCUGGUUUGUGGUGCCGGAAGUCGCGGGUUCGAGUCCCGUCUUCCACCCGA